UACGGGGGGAGCAAGCGUUGUUCGGAUUUACUGGGCGUAAAGGGCGCGUAGGCGGCGCAACAAGUCACUUUGUGAAAUCUCCGGGCUUAACCCGGAGCGGCCAAGUGAUACUGUCGUGCUAGAGUGCGGAAGGGGCUACUGGAAUUCUCGGUGUAGCGGUGAAAUGCGUAGAUAUCGAGAGGAACACCUGCGGCGAAGGCGGGUUGCUGGCUGAUACUGACGCUGGAGGCGCGAAAGCCAGGGAGCGAACGGGAUUAGAGUACCC
RNAcentral lists this ribosomal RNA (265 nucleotides) under uncultured bacterium. RNAcentral describes it as "partial 16S ribosomal RNA". It matches the Rfam family "Bacterial small subunit ribosomal RNA", at positions 524 to 788 of the family's 1533-position model. The record is from RNAcentral.